This 375-nucleotide ribosomal RNA is filed under the name uncultured eukaryote. RNAcentral describes it as "partial 18S ribosomal RNA". It matches the Rfam family "Eukaryotic small subunit ribosomal RNA", at positions 592 to 976 of the family's 1831-position model. The record is from RNAcentral.
CAAUAGCGUAUAUUUAAGUUGUUGCAGUUAAAAAGCUCGUAGUUGGAUUUCGGUUAAGAGCGACCGGUCCGCCGUUUGGUGUGCACUGGUUGGUUUUAACUUCCUGUAGAGGACGUGCUCUGGGUUUAACGACCUGGACUCGGAGUCUACGUGGUUACUUUGAAAAAAUUAGAGUGUUCAAAGCGGGCUUACGCUUGAAUAUUUCAGCAUGGAAUAACACUAUAGGACUCCUGUCCUAUUUCGUUGGUCUCGGGACGGGAGUAAUGAUUAAGAGGAACAGUUGGGGGCAUUCGUAUUUCAUUGUCAGAGGUGAAAUUCUUGGAUUUAUGAGAGACGAACUUCUGCGAAAGCAUUUGCCAAGGAUGUUUUCAUUAA